GCCAAGGCCCCCCAUGCUGACCCAGCCUUUUCUCUUUCCCCCCCAGUCUCUGCCCAGGCUCCCUCUGUCUUCCCCUUGACUUCAUGCUGCAGAGGGUCAGCUGCCAUGGCAGCCAACGUGACGUUGGGCUGCCUUGUCAAGGGCUUCUUCCCAGGACCAGUGGAAGUGGCCUGGGACACAGGUACCCUGAACCACACUGAAGUGACCUUGCCAGCUGCUACCCUGGACUCAGGCCUGUCUAUCACCAUCAGCCAGGUGACUGCCAUGGGCGCCUGGGCUAAGCAGAUGUUCACCUGCCACGUGGUGCAUGCUCCAACCACAACCCACACCAAUAAGACUUUCCGAGCAUGCAGGGCUACCUUCACACCACCCACAGUGAGGCUCCUCCACUCCUCCUGUGACCCCCGGGAGAAAGCGACUUACGCCAUCCAGCUCCUGUGCCUCAUCUCUGGCUACACCCCGGGACACAUUGAGGUCACCUGGCUGGUAGACGGACAGAAAGCCUCCAACUUGUUCUCAUCCACGGCACCACCCAAGCAGGAAGGCAAGUUAGCAUCCACCUACAGCGAGCUCAAUGUCACCCAAGGCGAAUGGGCAUCGCAGCACACCUACACCUGCAGGGUCGCCUACCAGGGCGAGCUCUUCGAGGCCCAUGCCCGGGAGUGCACAGCUUAUGAACCCCGCGGCGUGAGCACCUACCUGAGCUCCCCUAGUCCCCUCGACCUGUACGUCCGCAAGUCACCCAAGCUCACCUGUCUGGUGGUGGACCUGGCCAGCGAGGAGGGCGUGAGCCUGGUCUGGUCCCGGGAAAGCGGGGGGCCUGUGAACCCCGACCCCUGGAAGGCCAAGAAGCAGUUCAAUGCCACGGUCAGCAUCACGUCCACCCUGCCAGUGGACACUCGGGACUGGAUAGACGGCGAGACCUACACGUGCACCGUGACACAUCCCCACCUGCCGACGGCCAUCGUGCGGUCCAUCUUCAAGGGCUUGGGUGGGCGUGCUCCCCCCGAGGUACACCUGUUCAUGCCACCCGAAAUGCAGCAAGAGAACAAGGACCUGCUCACUCUCACCUGUCUGAUCCAAAACUUCUUCCCGGAAGACAUCUCAGUGCAGUGGCUUCUCAACGGGCAGCCGGUGCCCAGUAGCCAGUUCAGAACCACUGAGCCCCUCCUGACCAGCAGCUUCAACAAAACCUACUUCAUCUUCAGCCGCCUGGAGGUCAGCCGGACCGACUGGCAGCAGGGGAACGGGUUCACGUGCCAGGUGGUGCAUGAGGCACUGCCCGGCACCAGGAUCCUGGAGCAAACCGUGUCCAGGCAGCCCGAGCUGGACCUCCAGGACCUGUGUACAGAGGGGCCCGAGAGCGAGGAGCUGGACGGGCUAUGGACCAGCACCUGUGUCUUUGCCACCCUUUUUCUGCUAAGCACCAGCUGCAUUGCCAGCGUCCUGCUCAUCAAGGUGAAAUGGGUCUUGGCUGCAGUGAUGCCGGAAUUGCCUCCCGCCUCCCAUGACUACUCCAACAUCCUCCACCUGGGGGCCUAAGUCAGGCCUGCAGCAGCCUACAGGGAAGGCUCGAGCCCUGCUCCCAUGUCUCCAGCUCCCUAAAGCCCCUGCCCUGCCUGUGGCAGUAGGGGAACACAGAGACCUCCAUCACCUGAUGGCAAGUACACCAGGGCCAUCCACCAGCUCCAUCUCAGCCCCUGGACCAAGGCACAGGAGUGCAUGAGGCCAAGCCCUGUCCGGCCCUGCCAUGCCCAGCCUAGACAAGCUCAGCCCAGCCCAGCCCAGUCCUGCCCAGCCCAGCCCAGUCCAGCCCAGUCCUGCCUAGCUCAGCACUCCUAGGUCAGCCCUGCCAUGCCCAACCCAGCCCUGCCCAAUCCAGCCCUGCCCAGCCCUGCCCAACCCUGCCCUGCCCAAUCCCUCCCAGUCCAGCUAUGCCCAGCCCUGCCAUGCCCUGCCUAGCCCAGUCCUGCCCAGUCCAGCACUGCCCUACUUAGCUCAGCACUGCCUAGGUUAGCCCUGCCACGCCCAGCCCAGACCUGCCCA
Non-coding RNA from Ochotona princeps (American pika), 2046 nucleotides. The record is from the annotation of a RefSeq genome assembly. Lineage: Eukaryota; Metazoa; Chordata; Mammalia; Lagomorpha; Ochotonidae.